This 501-nucleotide ribosomal RNA is filed under the name uncultured Bacteroidota bacterium. RNAcentral's name for it is "bacterial SSU rRNA". It matches the Rfam family "Bacterial small subunit ribosomal RNA", at positions 548 to 1050 of the family's 1533-position model. The record is from RNAcentral. Lineage: Bacteria; Pseudomonadati; Bacteroidota.
GAUUCACUGGGUUUAAAGGGUGCGUAGGUGGGUUGGUAAGUCAGUGGUGAAAUCUCCGUGCUUAACAUGGAAACUGCCAUUGAUACUACUGAUCUUGAAUUUUCAGGAGGUAAGCGGAAUAUGUCAUGUAGCGGUGAAAUGCCUAGAUAUGACAUAGAACACCAAUUGCGAAGGCAGCUUACUACAGGAAUAUUGACACUGAUGCACGAAAGCGUGGGGAUCAAACAGGAUUAGAUACCCUGGUAGUCCACGCCCUAAACGAUGGAUACUCGACAUUUGUGAUACACAAUAAGUGUCUGAGCGAAAGCAUUAAGUAUCCCACCUGGGAAGUACGACCGCAAGGUUGAAACUCAAAGGAAUUGGCGGGGGUCCGCACAAGCGGUGGGGCAUGUGGUUUAAUUCGAUGAUACGCGAGGAACCUUACCUGGGCUAGAAUGUAGUCUGACCGUGGGUGAAAGCUCAUUUUGUAGCAAUACACAGAUUAUAAGGUGCUGCAUGGCU